Molecule: long non-coding RNA, 822 nt
Filed under: Brassica napus (rape)
Lineage: Eukaryota; Viridiplantae; Streptophyta; Magnoliopsida; Brassicales; Brassicaceae
Description: long non-coding RNA (BNAP_LNC018639)
Source: RNAcentral
GAGGCGGUUGAUUAUGUAAGGUGCAAAAUACCUAUUCUCGUUAACAUAGAUCGUAUUAUAUUGUGUAAAUUUCAAUCACCAAACUUUAAGCCAAAUAAUUGUGAAUUAUUGACACUUAUGGUGAUAACAAUUCUUCAAUUAGAUCUAUCAGUACAACGACCAAAAUAAAGGAGAAAUUUGUUGUUUGAUGUUCAUCAGACAUGAAACCACCAAAUUUGACUUUUCUAAGAAUAAAUAAGUUAACAUAAGAAUAAAUAAGUUAACAAUUGGUUAAAUUAAAGUUCAAUUAUAUCCAAAUAAAUAUCAAUCAUAUCAGCGAAGAUGUCUGUUAUCAUUAUACAUGAUCCUUUAGUUUGCUCCAAUUAUCCUUUGUUGAUAUCGAUUAAAUAUCCGGAUAAUAUUCUCUACACAGCCAGCUAUUUAACAAUUUACAAACUACACAGCCAGCUAUUUAACAAUUUACAAACUUACUUUCGCAACGACACAUACAUCGAGUCAGCUAAACAAAUACAAACUACACGGUCAGCUAUUUAACAAUUUACAAAUUUACUUUUGCAACGAAAAAGACGAAUACGACAACCAAGAUCAAUGAAAUUACCUAAACAAAAAAGCAGAGUAAGUUAUGAACUCUGAUAAAUACAACUAACAAUGAUUUUUGUUUACAUAUUCCCAAUCAAAUAAAAAAUAAACAAACACAGCCACAACAAGAGAUACAAGAGACAAUCCCGACAGACACAAAGGCGGCAACAACAGCUCCACCUGCUCACUCCUCUUGUCUUAUAAAAAUAGCUUACAUGUCCAAUGUCAACAUGCCAAUGCUAU